Molecule: RNase P RNA, 451 nt
Filed under: Flavonifractor sp. An112
Lineage: Bacteria; Bacillati; Bacillota; Clostridia; Eubacteriales; Oscillospiraceae
Also listed under: 2 other names
Description: RNase P RNA component class A
Rfam family: Bacterial RNase P class A
About the family: Ribonuclease P (RNase P) is a ubiquitous endoribonuclease, found in archaea, bacteria and eukarya as well as chloroplasts and mitochondria. Its best characterised activity is the generation of mature 5'-ends of tRNAs by cleaving the 5'-leader elements of precursor-tRNAs.
Source: RNAcentral
CAAGCAAGCUGGACAGCCGCGCCUGCGGGGCGAAAGGCCCGUGGGUGAGGAAAGUCCGGGCUCCAUAGGGCAAGGAUAACGGGUAACACCCGCCGGGGGCGACCCUAGGAAAAGUGCAACAGAAAUAGACCGCUGGCCGGUUGCCUCCAUGUGGAGGCGGAUGCAUCACGGCGGCCGCAGGCCGACGUGAUACACCCAUUUUCCGAAACUAGGAACAGGACCGCCUUCAGAUGGAGGCGACCGGCCAGUAAGGGUGGAAAGGCGAGGUAAGAGCUCACCCGAUGGCGUGCCAAGCGUCCAUCGCUGUAAACUCUAUCCGGAGCAACGCCGUGGAGGGACAACAGGCCGGCCCGGCCGUCCCGGGGAGGCGGCUUGAGCGUACCGGCAACGGUGCGUCGAGAUAGAUGGCUGUCUUAAAGGACAGAACCCGGCUUACAGGCUUACUUGCAGA